RNAcentral lists this ribosomal RNA (604 nucleotides) under Calliostoma punctulatum. RNAcentral describes it as "partial 12S ribosomal RNA". The stretch from base 172 to 604 matches the Rfam family "Bacterial small subunit ribosomal RNA", at positions 874 to 1384 of the family's 1533-position model. Lineage: Eukaryota; Metazoa; Mollusca; Gastropoda; Trochida; Calliostomatidae. The record is from RNAcentral.
GGAGGUUAUAAAGUUAAAUGUAUGGGAACCUGCUUUUUUUAUAGAGGUGAAAUUUGUAUAAGAAAGGUUAGUCUUUUGUUUUCUUUUUUUGAAGCCUCGAAAGUUUAGUGUAAGACCGGGAUUAGAUACCCCGUUAUUUAUUCUAUAAACUUUAAUUUAUUAUGAUUUACUUGGGUAUUACGGGCUGCAGUGAAUUUGUUAGUAGCUUGCAGAUGGCUUAAAACUCAAAAAACUUGGCGGUGCCUUAAUUCUUUCCGGGGGAACCUGUCCUUUAAUCGAUGGUCCACGAUUUAGCUUACCUUGUUUUGAAUACUAGUUUAUUAUUGGCUAGUACAGCUUGUAUACCGUCGUCGUCAGAUUACCUUUAAGAGAUGAGAAGUUGUCGGGAGGAGUAGGUUCUACGGUUUAUUUUAUUUAUAUAAAUAGACUAGGUUUUUAGUUCCAGAUGUCAGAUCAAGGUGCAGCUUAUGGCAAGGGAGAGAUGGGUUACAAUAGUUAUUUACUAAGACGGAUUUCGUUUUUGUAAUAAAUGAAUUGAAGGUGGACUCGGGAGUAAUAUAAAUUUUAAGUAGAUAGUUUUUGUGAAACUGGUGCUAAGGUGCGU